Non-coding RNA from Maylandia zebra (zebra mbuna), 425 nucleotides. The record is from RefSeq and is a predicted model, not a curated record. Lineage: Eukaryota; Metazoa; Chordata; Actinopteri; Cichliformes; Cichlidae.
GGUCACAGCUCCUUUCAGCAUGGCCGGAGGAGAGGUGUACUGGCAGUCGCGUGACACACACAGAUCAGACACAUAUUUCUGUGUUGCAGAUGUGCAGUAAAGAGCCAAAGACCCAGUACUGUCUCCUGCCUCUUACUUUCACGCCAGAACACAACGCAAGAACAACAGGCGUAACACAUGAACGGGUUACACAUACUGAGGCCUCCUCCUGUUUCACUGCCAUAUAUCCACCACCAGAGGGCUCCACUGACCUGCCUGCCGACAUCAGAGCACACCCCUGUGUCAUGUGACCUGGCAGGAGUAGCAAAGCUGGACUCAGACCUGGCCAGGCAAGUUCAAAGGCAGCUGUGGUAGAGAGAGUAUAUGGGCUCAAAUUGUGCUCAUAAAUAUUUUGUACUUGUAAAUCAAUUUGUGUGUGUAUGGGA